Gymnodraco acuticeps is the source of this 333-nucleotide long non-coding RNA. RefSeq lists it as uncharacterized. The record is from RefSeq and is a predicted model, not a curated record. Lineage: Eukaryota; Metazoa; Chordata; Actinopteri; Perciformes; Bathydraconidae. The transcript is spliced from 3 exons.
GCAGCUGUUAUUGACAGCUACGCUAUGACCGCCAUCUGGAAACAUACAUUUGGAAGAAUCCGGGUAUGUACAUGAUUGGAAUGACUUUGCUUUUGUAAAUGUUGCAAAUGUGCAUUUUUCAACAGGAAUGUAAUACUUUUGCAACUACUCUCAGGUUGAUCCAAUGGCACACACAGUCAUCGUGGGAAUUGUGAACGAGAACCAUCACUGGAUGUUGGUGGUAAUGUACCCCCAUGAGAAGAAAACCCUCUUCUUGGAUCCACUUGGAGAAGGGAAAGGCAAAACGAAGGUGUGCCUGCAGUCUACAAGUUUGCAGAGAACAUUUUACUGGGG